AUUCACUUUCCGUUUCUUCCCACAGAUACGUUCAUUAAUGCUUUUUCCAGCCGGAGACAAACUUUUUGGGGGUGGGGUAGGGGGGGUAUGGAGGGAGAGUUGGCUAGGGCUGCGGGUAACCCAGCGCCUACUGCCGGGGAAGACUCGGACGAAAACCGAGGCAAACCAACCAUUAAAAAGUGCAUCCAAUAAGAAUUUUUCCACUCAGGCCCUCCGCUGCCGAGACGCGGCAGACUCCCAGAGCGGCUCACCCACUCAUCGAAGCGGAUUCUGGGCGGUUUCGGGCUGACCCGCGCUGUCAGGGCGCGGACUCCAUUCCGGGCGCAUUGUUAGGAGAAGGGGCCCCUCGGGGCGGCGCGCCUCGACCCUGGGCUCCCGGUGCCCGCAGAGGGCGGAGAUCCGCGGCGCCCUAGGCCACCUAUCCGCAUCUUCUCGAGCCAAACCCCCAGCGCUUACCCGGACCCGACGGCCCAAGCACUGACUCCCAGGCAAGAGUCGCCCUUCCUGGUCCCCAGGGAACUGACACUACCGCGGGACGUUCCCUCUAGGACAGUCAGCAGGUCCCAGGAGCGCAGCACGCAACAGCGCAGAGCAGACCCAGACUUUUCCCGGGGUGAGACCCGGAGGCCCGCGCUCUGGACCGUCCUCCCUACCCAGCCUGGAGGCCGGCGUUCCCCGGCCCAACCCGGAGACCUCCCCGCCUCCCUCCUGGGCCGCCGCGCGCCCCAGUUGGAGCAGCCUCGAGGGGCUGGGCCCUUUCGGCCGGACUCCCUUCUCCCGGACAUCCAAAACAGGUUACCUUGUCCACGCUCUCCGGACCACGCUUUGGACUUGCUCACUUUUAUUUAAGAGUCCGACGGGGGAAAGAGGGAAAAAAAAUCCAGAGGAGAUCCAAGUCAAUUGGAAGAAAAAAUUUCAAAAGGGUGUCCACAGAGGCGAAAAAAGGCUCUACCGACCUUCAAACUACAACAGAGCUUUCAGGAGAAUGCGGAGAGACGGCUUCCCACCCGGACCUCACCAGAAACCCGCACACCCCAGCCACAUUGCUCCUCAUUCAGCCAGAAAGGACUCCAACUCCACCACCAGGAGGCCCCCCUUCCUGGUGCUGGCCAGUUGCAGAGGCUGUUCAUGGCAUCCCACAGGUGGCGACUGCCCCCCACCCUCCUCCUAGCACUUUAGAGGGUCCCUCUGUGGCAGACACCAUGGCUAGGUUUCUCUUUCCAACUCCUGUUGGUCUGGCAAGUGACAGAUCAUCUUCACUACAUUAAUCAGUAGUCACCCGAACAUUCCUAUACUGUCCCCCAAUUCCUUUCAGCACCAGCUGCCUCCCCCACUGGAAUUAUUCAAUAUGGAACUAGAUUAAAUUGAAGACUUGCCCUUUAGUUUUUAACUGUGGAACUCCAUCGCACUUUCUGUUUCUCCAAAGCUACGGCAAUUUCAUGGUUUUGGAGAUGGGCGGGGGGUAGUGGAGAGCCUGGCACAGGCACCACUAGAUGCAUAGACACAGGCACCCCGGCCCUUUGGGACUCACAGACUGGCACUGGUGCCACUGUUGUUGGCGAUUUUCAGCCCCCUGGGAGAAGCUCCUGUCCAUUCACAGAGGUCUCCACCCAGAAAGAAGACCCCACCUAACUCUGACUAGAUGCCUGCGGGAAUCUCGGAUUUCCUCCAUCCAGUGUUGGCAUGCCCGUAGGUCAGUUUGCCCCACUUUUAUGUAACUCAGGGUUUGAUGGUCAACUCCACUGCUACUGCUGCUUUUUUAAAUCCUGAAAGGGGAUGGGGGAAGCGCCCUAACCAAGCACAAUAGUAAACAAGUCUACCCUGUUUAAUGUGGUUACCACCAGACAUCUGGAAAGAUGGUUUGAUCCUGGCAGCUCACAUUGUUUUCACGAGCAGCCAAAGGGGAUAUUUUGAAUGUUUGCAUUGAGACAAAUUGAUAGAGAGCCUGCGGUGAGGGCCUACAAAUGAAAACUGUCUUGUGUUAGUGGGGCAGACCUCCCCUUCCCUCUCCUCUCCCUCCUCUCUUCUCUCCUUCCUCUUUCCUUAGUCUCUGGGCCCAGCUUGGGGAAGGCUGCCCCUGCCCACACACUUGUGCACACCCUCUUUCCUGGCUUACCAUGGCUCCAAUGGCCUCGCCCUUUCCCAGACUGGGCAGAGCUGCUGAACAGGAGCUGGUAUGAGUGCCAUCGGCGACAGCUCACUUUCCAGCAGCUCGGGGCUGGUUUUCAAGUCAGAGGCAGCUCACAGCCAAGGAAGCUCUUCCCAGUAUUUAAAACAAAAGCUACCAACUGGAGAAAAAAAUGUCCCAACAACAAAACAGCCCACCACAUGUUUCCAAGUCUGGGGUCACUUACAGAAACCGUGCACAUGGGCGUGAAUACUCAGGAAAUAUUUGGAUUUGGAGCAUUUUCAUUUGGAACGCUGGUGAGACGACUUGCCUCGCACCAUUCGCACUUGACAGUAUUUUCAAAGAUGCGGAAGUCCUGCUUCCCCCGGGAGGGGAGCGGCGGGUCGAAACGUGUCUUGGCUCGCUCAAUGUCAGCCCUUUUGACCCGGUCAAGACUUUCCAGACACGGGCUUCCCGGGCUUCUUCGGCCCCAGACUGGGUUUGGGGUGGGCG
RNAcentral lists this long non-coding RNA (2620 nucleotides) under Homo sapiens (human). Its description in RNAcentral is "HSALNT0365742". Lineage: Eukaryota; Metazoa; Chordata; Mammalia; Primates; Hominidae. The record is from RNAcentral.